Molecule: ribosomal RNA, 696 nt
Filed under: Escherichia coli
Lineage: Bacteria; Pseudomonadati; Pseudomonadota; Gammaproteobacteria; Enterobacterales; Enterobacteriaceae
Description: bacterial SSU rRNA
Rfam family: Bacterial small subunit ribosomal RNA
Source: RNAcentral
GUCGAACGGUAACAGGAAGAAGCUUGCUUCUUUGCUGACGAGUGGCGGACGGGUGAGUAAUGUCUGGGAAACUGCCUGAUGGAGGGGGAUAACUACUGGAAACGGUAGCUAAUACCGCAUAACGUCGCAAGACCAAAGAGGGGGACCUUCGGGCCUCUUGCCAUCGGAUGUGCCCAGAUGGGAUUAGCUAGUAGGUGGGGUAACGGCUCACCUAGGCGACGAUCCCUAGCUGGUCUGAGAGGAUGACCAGCCACACUGGAACUGAGACACGGUCCAGACUCCUACGGGAGGCAGCAGUGGGGAAUAUUGCACAAUGGGCGCAAGCCUGAUGCAGCCAUGCCGCGUGUAUGAAGAAGGCCUUCGGGUUGUAAAGUACUUUCAGCGGGGAGGAAGGGAGUAAAGUUAAUACCUUUGCUCAUUGACGUUACCCGCAGAAGAAGCACCGGCUAACUCCGUGCCAGCAGCCGCGGUAAUACGGAGGGUGCAAGCGUUAAUCGGAAUUACUGGGCGUAAAGCGCACGCAGGCGGUUUGUUAAGUCAGAUGUGAAAUCCCCGGGCUCAACCUGGGAACUGCAUCUGAUACUGGCAAGCUUGAGUCUCGUAGAGGGGGGUAGAAUUCCAGGUGUAGCGGUGAAAGCGUAGAGAUCUGGGAAUACCGUGGCGAAGGCGGCCCCCUGGACGAAGACUGACGCUCUG